ACCCAUACAUCCAAGGGCUGGAGCUUA
This 27-nucleotide small RNA is filed under the name Bombyx mori (domestic silkworm). Its description in RNAcentral is "ovarian small RNA-11266". Lineage: Eukaryota; Metazoa; Arthropoda; Insecta; Lepidoptera; Bombycidae. The record is from RNAcentral.